UUGCACAAUGGGCGCAAGCCUGAUGCAGCCAUGCCGCGUGUAUGAAGAAGGCCUUCGGGUUGUAAAGUACUUUCAGCAGUGAGGAAGGUGGAUAUGUUAAUAGCAUAUUCAUUUGACGUUAGCUGCAGAAGAAGCACCGGCUAACUCCGUGCCAGCAGCCGCGGUAAUACGGAGGGUGCGAGCGUUAAUCGGAAUUACUGGGCGUAAAGCGCAUGCAGGUGGUUUGUUAAGUCAGAUGUGAAAGCCCGGGGCUCAACCUCGGAAUUGCAUUUGAAACUGGCAAACUAGAGUACUGUAGAGGGGGUAGAAUUUCAGGUGUAGCGGUGAAAUGCGUAGAGAUCUGAAGGAAUACCGGUGGCGAAGGCGGCCCCCUGGACAGAUACUGACACUCAGAUGCGAAAGCGUGGGGAGCAAACAGGAUUAGAUACCCUGGUAG
Molecule: ribosomal RNA, 436 nt
Filed under: uncultured bacterium
Lineage: Bacteria
Description: bacterial SSU rRNA
Rfam family: Bacterial small subunit ribosomal RNA
Source: RNAcentral